AUGGAGCCGACCUUGAAAUACCACCCUUUAAUGUUUGAUGUUCUAACGUUGACCCGUAAUCCGGGUUGCGGACAGUGUCUGGUGGGUAGUUUGACUGGGGCGGUCUCCUCCUAAAGAGUAACGGAGGAGCACGAAGGUUGGCUAAUCCUGGUCGGACAUCAGGAGGUUAGUGCAAUGGCAUAAGCCAGCUUGACUGCGAGCGUGACGGCGCGAGCAGGUGCGAAAGCAGGUCAUAGUGAUCCGGUGGUUCUGAAUGGAAGGGCCAUCGCUCAACGGAUAAAAGGUACUCCGGGGAUAACAGGCUGAUACCGCCCAAGAGUUCAUAUCGACGGCGGUGUUUGGCACCUCGAUGUCGGCUCAUCACAUCCUGGGGCUGAAGUAGGUCCCAAGGGUAUGGCUGUUCGCCAUUUAAAGUGGUACGCGAGCUGGGUUUAGAACGUCGUGAGACAGUUCGGUCCCUAUCUGCCGUGGGCGCUGGAGAACUGAGGGGGGCUGCUCCUAGUACGAGAGGACCGGAGUGGACGCAUCACUGGUGUUCGGGUUGUCAUGCCAAUGGCACUGCCCGGUAGCUAAAUGCGGAAGAGAUAAGUGCUGAAAGCAUCUAAGCACGAAACUUGCCCCGAGAUGAGUUCUCCCUGACUCCUUGAGAGUCCUGAAGGAACGUUGAAGACGACGACGUUGAUAGGCC
This 688-nucleotide ribosomal RNA is filed under the name Escherichia coli. Its description in RNAcentral is "partial 23S ribosomal RNA". It matches the Rfam family "Bacterial large subunit ribosomal RNA", at positions 2180 to 2862 of the family's 2925-position model. The record is from RNAcentral. Lineage: Bacteria; Pseudomonadati; Pseudomonadota; Gammaproteobacteria; Enterobacterales; Enterobacteriaceae.